Macaca nemestrina (pig-tailed macaque) is the source of this 1990-nucleotide long non-coding RNA. Lineage: Eukaryota; Metazoa; Chordata; Mammalia; Primates; Cercopithecidae. The record is from Ensembl.
AUUACGUAAGUCAUCGGGCAGUUUUGCGAGGUAGUACUGGAAUUCUAAGAAAAUCAGGGCUGGAGAUUGCCGUUUACAAACCAUCUUCAUAGUUGAUUGUUGAAAUCCUGAGAGUGGAUAAUAUCAUCUAGGGAAAGGAAUACAGUAAGAAAAGAAGAAGAUUGAUGACGAAACAUUGGGGAAGGCAGAGUCAUGUUUUUAUUGUUGUUGUCUUUUUAAUCAGUGAGAGGGUCCUGUGCAUGUUAGCAAGCAAAGAGAGAGUCAAAACAUCCAGCAGAAGCAGGAAGAGAAGAGUUACCCAGCAUUGCACAGCUAUCCUGAGAAGUAGAGGACAAGGCCCCUCUCUUCAGUUGUUACAAAUUCUUCUGACUGCAAAUAUUAGAAUACCUAACUAACAGCAGCUGAAUCACAGAACAAUGAAGAAGGAAGGGCCCAGGGUUGAUCUGGUAUUUCAACAAUGUCCUUAAGGAGGUAGGUUGCUGUGAUGCCUUCCACCCUCCCCUCUUCAGUGAGUCCAUGAUGUCUUUCCUCAUGGUUUGAUAAUGGCUGCUGUAGCUCCACAUAUCACAUCAUCAUACUACUGUGUCCAAAGCAGGACCCAAGAGGGCAUCAGUGGCACCAAAAGAGCCUUUUAUUCCUAUGCCUUUCUCAGAUGCCCCAGCUGAUUUUCAGUCCCUGGCAAAGGGGUACAGCAUUGCCAUUGCUGGCUUAAAUAAUUUAUGAUACAUCCUCUAGGCCUGAACAGAUUGCUGCUAGAAUAACACUGGGAUCUGUUAGGAGAGAAAGAGUGAGAAAUGACUUUUGGCUCAGAUGCCAACCAUGCAUGCCAGAGUAUACGUGAUUUAAUGUGCAUAUUUAUCAGCUAUGCUACUUUGGACAAAUUAUCUAACCUUUCAAAUUCUCAGUUAAUGCAUCUACAAAAUUAGGUAUAAUAAUGUCUAUCUCACAGUGUGGCUGUGAGCAUUAAGGGAAAUGCUGCAUGUAAAAAUGCCUCAGAUAUAGAAGAUGCUCAAGAAAUGCUUUCUAUAUAAACACACUAAGCAUGGCUCUAGAAUAACAGACUUCUGUGUUUCCAGAUUUUGAUCUGUAGGAUUUGUCCCAGCUUAUACAAAUAAUUACAGAGAAACUUUUUCAGUGUUGGUUCUGUGCAUAGGCUGAGUGAUUGCCUAUGAAUGUAAUACAAAGAGUGUUAAAGGAAACUCGUAAGUCUAAAAAAUGCCUUCUUCACAAUUCCUGUGGUUCAUGCCUCCUCUUGUAAUUCAAUGACCCUAAGAAGGAAAACAUCGUAAACUGUUUAUCAGGAAGUAAUAUCUUAGUGUGGAUUUUAUGAUCAGAUAUUCCAGUGACAGUUAGCUUAGAGUAGGUUAAGGGAGGGGAGAAUAUGUCUAGAAUACCAAGCAGAAUAUGAUUAACUCAUUUUUCCAUCAGGUUUCGGAGCUCAGGAUAUAAUAAAUUAUUAGUUCAUACUAAGACGUUAAUAUCUAGCUCCAAUAUAAUGUGCUAAAUAGUCUAGCCAUAUAUAUAGUUUCACAUCUGGGUUGGGCUCUGAAAUCAGAAAGUUCCAAUUUUGAAUUUCAUCCCUCACUUAAAUGUGUGAUCUUGAGCUAGUCACCUAUCCUUUCUGAAUUAGGUUAUCUACCUGUAAAUAGAAAACAGUAGCAAUAAUCUCAUACAGCUGAAAACAUUAGAUGAGUCUAUAAAAGGGCUUAGCACACAUCUAGUACAUGGUGUGUCCAAAUGUUCGCUAUAAUUAUUGUCAUUUAUUAGUUUACAUCUUAUUAUCAAAAUCAUCUUGUGGUGGCUGGGCGCGGUGACUCAGGCCUGUAAUCCCACCACUUUGGGAGGCCGAGGCGGGCAGAUCACGAGGUCAGGAGAUCGAGACCAUCCUGGCUAACACGGUGGAACCCUGUCUCUACUAAAAAAUGCAAAAAAUUAGCCAGGCGUAGUGGCGGGCGCCUGUAUUCCCAGCUAUUGGGGAGGCUGAGGCAGG